Molecule: long non-coding RNA, 1357 nt
Filed under: Mus pahari (shrew mouse)
Lineage: Eukaryota; Metazoa; Chordata; Mammalia; Rodentia; Muridae
Description: lncRNA (MGP_PahariEiJ_G0005647.1)
Source: RNAcentral
GGUAAAUUCAAAUAAGAGGUUAGAAUUAGUUACUGAAGAAGAUUUACAGAAAGGAACGGCGUCCUUCAGUAAGAGGGCUUGUUCUCUGACCGCUUCUGCUCAGGCACAUGUGCUGUGGGUGAGAUGCUGAAGGAAGAACAUUAACAGAGCAGAAGGCAGUCCUGGUAACCAGGCGCCCAAUAUGGCCAAAUUCGUUCUCACUGAAUUUCACCAUUUUGUCUAUUGGAUGAAACUGGCAUUGCCUAAGAAGAUGCAGCUGUAUCUGGAACAGGGAGGAGCAGAGAGCCUAAAAACACAUUUCUAAGGGCAGGUCUUGAGUAUCCAUCCUUCCCUAAGGAAACACAUCUGCACUGUCUAUUCUUGCAAAUGCCAUGGAAUGGAUUUUGAGAGUUUCUCAGAUCUACACCCAUAAAUGGAUGUGGUAGAUCACAGCUCUUUGAGCAGUGAAUUUUAUGGGUGCUGUGCUGUCACAUUGGUCCUGAUUGAGCCCAAUUUUCCCUGUCAUCUGUAAUGACUUUGAAAAACAUGGAAUGAAAUCCAGGACAUGAAGAAAAUUGGAAAUGAUUUCAACAACAACAACAACAACAACAUUUGCUUGUAAAUUUGAGUAGAAAACAGAGCCUUCCGUUCAAUGUGAGGAUCCACACUAAAACUUGACUCACCAUGGUUUAGCACCCGGUAGCUCUUCUCAGUCAUGGGGUUAUAGUGCACUGUGGGGCCAUCAUUAGAUCACCAUUGUUCUGCACUUUAGUUACUCAAACCAUGUCAGGUAGGAGCUGAACACAGGCUGUACAAGAGCCUGGCUCACUCUGCCUCUUUACUGGCUGAAACAGAUCCUGCUUGCAUGGGGGCCACACUUUUUCUUGGCUUCAUGAUGCAUUCACCCUGCGUCUCCUUCAUUAUCAUUCUAUGUUUCCUUUAUUUUUAAAUAAAUAAAAAAAAAAUCCAGCAUGUCCUUUAUCGUUGCCUUUGCUUUGAUCUUCUGUUCUUGAACAUUAAACUAAACACGGACACACACUCAUGCAUUAAUUCCACCUAACUCAGCGAUGAGGUCUAGCAAUGUUCACAUUCAGAUAUAGCAGAGUUACCUUAUAAUCUUAAAGUGUAAAAUAAUUCAUCAUGGGCUGCAGAAGUGACUCAAUGGUUACGCGCACUUGCUGUUCCUCCGGGGCAUCAGCAUGAAAUUUUCUACAACUACAUAGCACCUCACAACCAAGUAGGAGAUCUGAGAAGCCAUCUCUGGUCUCUGUAGGUACUGCAUACAUAUGGUGGACAGACAAGUAAGCAGGCAUAACAUCAAUUUACAUACAAUAAAUAAAUUAAGUAAAAAAUAAAAACAUCAUUACAAGUUUGCACA